RNAcentral lists this ribosomal RNA (18 nucleotides) under Pythium aristosporum. RNAcentral's name for it is "partial 5.8S ribosomal RNA". The record is from RNAcentral. Lineage: Eukaryota; Oomycota; Peronosporomycetes; Pythiales; Pythiaceae.
AUAACAACUUUCAGCAGU